This 478-nucleotide ribosomal RNA is filed under the name uncultured bacterium. RNAcentral's name for it is "partial 16S ribosomal RNA". It matches the Rfam family "Bacterial small subunit ribosomal RNA", at positions 28 to 523 of the family's 1533-position model. The record is from RNAcentral.
GACGAACGCUGGCGGCGUGCUUAACACAUGCAAGUCGAACGGUAAGGCCCUUCGGGGUACACGAGUGGCGAACGGGUGAGUAACACGUGGGUGAUCUGCCCUGCACUUCGGGAUAAGCCUGGGAAACUGGGUCUAAUACCGGAUAGGACCACUGCCUGCAUGGGUGGUGGUGGAAAGCUUUUGCGGUGUGGGAUGGGCCCGCGGCCUAUCAGCUUGUUGGUGGGGUGAUGGCCUACCAAGGCGACGACGGGGAGCCGGCCUGAGAGGGUGACCGGCCACACUGGGACGGGGAUACGGCCCAGACUCCUGCGGGGGGCAGCAGUGGGGAAUAUUGCACAAUGGGCGCAAGCCUGAUGCAGCGACGCCGCGUGAGGGAUGACGGCCUUCGGGUUGUAAACCUCUUUCAGCACCGACGAAGCGCAAGUGACGGUAGGUGCAGAAGAAGGACCGGCCAACUACGUGCCAGCAGCCGCCGUAA